This is a long non-coding RNA of Onychomys torridus (southern grasshopper mouse), 140 nucleotides long. RefSeq lists it as uncharacterized. The transcript has 2 exons. The record is from RefSeq and is a predicted model, not a curated record. NCBI's taxonomy places the organism in Eukaryota, Metazoa, Chordata, Mammalia, Rodentia, Cricetidae.
GUUUGGCCAAGUGCGAGAUCCUUCAGCCAGCGGCGCUUCGGCCUCGCAGAAAGGAAAUAAAGAGAAGAAAUUUUUCUAUAGUCAUCCAAAGUUAAAGAAACUGGAAGAAGUUAUAAUUGACACUUCAGGUCAUGGAAUGC